RNAcentral lists this ribosomal RNA (324 nucleotides) under uncultured Chloroflexota bacterium. Its description in RNAcentral is "bacterial SSU rRNA". It matches the Rfam family "Bacterial small subunit ribosomal RNA", at positions 28 to 351 of the family's 1533-position model. Lineage: Bacteria; Bacillati; Chloroflexota. The record is from RNAcentral.
GAUGAACGCUGGCGGCGUGCCUAAUACAUGCAAGUCGAACGGGGUGUUUGAGCAAUCGAACACUUAGUGGCGAACGGGUGAGUAACGCGUUGGUGACCUGCCCCAAAGCGGGGGAUAACAGCCUGAAAGGGUUGCUAAUACCGCAUAAGGUCUGGAGAGACUAGAAGCUUCAGAUUAAAGGAGAAAUCCACUUUGGGAGGGGCCUGCGUCCCAUCAGCUAGUUGGUAGGGUAAAAGCCUACCAAGGCGAUGACGGGUAGGGGACCUGAGAGGGUGGACCCCCACAAUGGCACUGAAACACGGGCCAUACACCUACGGGUGGCUG